GGGAAGGUGGCUCAGUGGUAGAGCGCUUGCCUUGCAUGCACAAGGCCCUGGGUUCGAUUCCUCAGCACCCCA
Molecule: transfer RNA, 72 nt
Filed under: Dipodomys ordii (Ord's kangaroo rat)
Lineage: Eukaryota; Metazoa; Chordata; Mammalia; Rodentia; Heteromyidae
Rfam family: tRNA
About the family: Transfer RNA (tRNA) molecules are approximately 80 nucleotides in length. Their secondary structure includes four short double-helical elements and three loops (D, anti-codon, and T loops).
Source: Rfam by way of RNAcentral